CGUGGAGGAUGAAGAUUUUCGGAUCGUAAACUCCUGUCGAACGGGACGAAAGUACCAUGGGUUAAUACCCCGUGGUCGUGACGGUACCGUUAAGGGAAACCCCGGCUAACUCCGUGC
Molecule: ribosomal RNA, 117 nt
Filed under: uncultured bacterium
Lineage: Bacteria
Description: partial 16S ribosomal RNA
Rfam family: Bacterial small subunit ribosomal RNA
Source: RNAcentral